CCAAAUUCUGGAUGAAGUAGCCAGCUUGCUAUAAAUUUGAAAGGCCGACAAGUUGUAUUCUGAUGAUUAUGGCCACUAGAACCCAAAUUAACCAAGAUUAGUCGAGGAUCCGACUUCAAUUUGUGGAGAUGUCAGACCAAACUAUCUGGAGUGAAACAGUUCCAAUAUGAGUUGCAGAUGGCCUAUAAAGUCUUUGAAAAAGAUUACCUCUACUCCAGGUGAAACGAGGGUCAGAAAAACCCAUAUCCCUCAGCUUAUUCUUGAAUAAGAAAUCCUUAAAAAAAAUUACAACUUGCCUUCACACGAAUAACACCACCGUCAUGCUCCAAACUAUCCAGAAUGGAGUUGAAAUCUCCAUCAAGAAUCC
This 367-nucleotide long non-coding RNA is filed under the name Gossypium barbadense (sea-island cotton). RNAcentral's name for it is "long non-coding RNA (GBAR_LNC014940)". The record is from RNAcentral. Lineage: Eukaryota; Viridiplantae; Streptophyta; Magnoliopsida; Malvales; Malvaceae.